AUUCUGGGUAGGAAACUCAAACAUCCGGCGUGAUCGCUGAUCGGUUGAAAUGAGAAAACAUCGGAGAGUGUGAUUUAUGAUCAUCGAGCAAGGGAUGAAGAAAGUCAGUAAGCCCAUCACUGAAAAUCAUCAUCAGACGAUGACCAAACAAAUGCUGUCUUUGAAUACGGAUUUGAUGGCUUCUUCACUUUCUUUGUCUGUGGGUUCUUUUCAGCGAAGCCCUGGGGAUGGCAGACUUUAUCCGUUCGCAUUCGCUUAGAAGAAUCUGGAAAAAGGAACCAUGAAAAUUUGAGUUCAUAUACAAAAGUGAAAAAACAAGUGCAUUUUCCCGUUGAUUCUGCUUUGGAGCCGGAUGGUUCAUCUGUCUUACACUUGGAUGCAGUUGCUGCUAUAUGAAAAUAAUCCAGAGCCUGAGGAUGUAGCGGUGGACGUGGUACAGGUAGUGGUAGUGGUUCUUAUUGACUUAGAAGCCAUGGGUGGAGCUAAUGUUAUGGAAAAAAUGGGUACUUCAGAUGGACCUGUCUCACCUAAGUAUUGGACAUCACCUGAAACGAAGACAGAAAAUUAAUAAUUUCCAUGGAUGGAUUGGCACAGAUGGUCUUGUCAGCAUCUACUUCAUCCUCACUGGAGACAAACAUUUCCAUCAUAUCAAUGGCUCUCUCAACCGAACUCUUUACUUGUCCCUUUCGCACUGCAACUUCACCACUAGA
This is a long non-coding RNA of Magallana angulata, 710 nucleotides long. RefSeq lists it as uncharacterized. The record is from RefSeq and is a predicted model, not a curated record. NCBI's taxonomy places the organism in Eukaryota, Metazoa, Mollusca, Bivalvia, Ostreida, Ostreidae. The transcript has 6 exons.